GGGGUUGUAGCUCAGUGGUAGAGCACUUGCCUAGCACGUGUGAGGCACUGGGUUCGAUCCUCAGCACCA
RNAcentral lists this transfer RNA (69 nucleotides) under Marmota marmota marmota (Alpine marmot). It matches the Rfam family "tRNA". From Rfam's summary of the family: Transfer RNA (tRNA) molecules are approximately 80 nucleotides in length. Their secondary structure includes four short double-helical elements and three loops (D, anti-codon, and T loops). Further hydrogen bonds mediate the characteristic L-shaped molecular structure. tRNAs have two regions of fundamental functional importance: the anti-codon, which is responsible for specific mRNA codon recognition, and the 3' end, to which the tRNAs corresponding amino acid is attached (by aminoacyl-tRNA synthetases). tRNAs cope with the degeneracy of the genetic code in two manners: having more than one tRNA (with a specific anti-codon) for a particular amino acid; and 'wobble' base-pairing, i.e. permitting non-standard base-pairing at the 3rd anti-codon position. The record is from Rfam by way of RNAcentral. Lineage: Eukaryota; Metazoa; Chordata; Mammalia; Rodentia; Sciuridae. RNAcentral also lists the same sequence under 3 other names.